Molecule: non-coding RNA, 173 nt
Filed under: [Eubacterium] yurii
Lineage: Bacteria; Bacillati; Bacillota; Clostridia; Peptostreptococcales; Filifactoraceae
Source: RNAcentral
UCCAUCGUGAGGUGGAAUCUGAAGUAAGCUUAAUGCAAAUUCUCGGUCUGACGAACAGAAAUCACAUACAAGGCAUUUAUAGGGCAGACGAGCUUGCCCAACAAAGUGAAGUCCAAUACUACCCGAACCCUAUGGUGUAAAUGUGACAGAUAGAUGAGAGGAAGGUUAUCACU